UACAUAAGUGAGCAUCGUCAAUGAUAAGA
This 29-nucleotide small RNA is filed under the name Bombyx mori (domestic silkworm). RNAcentral's name for it is "ovarian small RNA-20362". Lineage: Eukaryota; Metazoa; Arthropoda; Insecta; Lepidoptera; Bombycidae. The record is from RNAcentral.